This 73-nucleotide transfer RNA is filed under the name Candidatus Omnitrophota bacterium. Its description in RNAcentral is "Candidatus Omnitrophica bacterium (aquatic metagenome) tRNA-Arg". It matches the Rfam family "tRNA". From Rfam's summary of the family: Transfer RNA (tRNA) molecules are approximately 80 nucleotides in length. Their secondary structure includes four short double-helical elements and three loops (D, anti-codon, and T loops). The record is from RNAcentral. Lineage: Bacteria; Pseudomonadati; Candidatus Omnitrophota.
GCGCCUGUAGUUCAAUGGAUAGAGCGCCAGUCUUCGGAACUGGUUGUUGCUGGUUCGAGUCCAGCCAGGCGCA